This 1010-nucleotide ribosomal RNA is filed under the name Klebsiella pneumoniae. RNAcentral describes it as "bacterial SSU rRNA". It matches the Rfam family "Bacterial small subunit ribosomal RNA", at positions 56 to 1065 of the family's 1533-position model. The record is from RNAcentral. Lineage: Bacteria; Pseudomonadati; Pseudomonadota; Gammaproteobacteria; Enterobacterales; Enterobacteriaceae.
UGCAAGUCGAGCGGUAGCACAGAGAGCUUGCUCUCGGGUGACGAGCGGCGGACGGGUGAGUAAUGUCUGGGAAACUGCCUGAUGGAGGGGGAUAACUACUGGAAACGGUAGCUAAUACCGCAUAACGUCGCAAGACCAAAGUGGGGGACCUUCGGGCCUCAUGCCAUCAGAUGUGCCCAGAUGGGAUUAGCUAGUAGGUGGGGUAACGGCUCACCUAGGCGACGAUCCCUAGCUGGUCUGAGAGGAUGACCAGCCACACUGGAACUGAGACACGGUCCAGACUCCUACGGGAGGCAGCAGUGGGGAAUAUUGCACAAUGGGCGCAAGCCUGAUGCAGCCAUGCCGCGUGUGUGAAGAAGGCCUUCGGGUUGUAAAGCACUUUCAGCGGGGAGGAAGGCGGUGAGGUUAAUAACCUUGUCGAUUGACGUUACCCGCAGAAGAAGCACCGGCUAACUCCGUGCCAGCAGCCGCGGUAAUACGGAGGGUGCAAGCGUUAAUCGGAAUUACUGGGCGUAAAGCGCACGCAGGCGGUCUGUCAAGUCGGAUGUGAAAUCCCCGGGCUCAACCUGGGAACUGCAUUCGAAACUGGCAGGCUAGAGUCUUGUAGAGGGGGGUAGAAUUCCAGGUGUAGCGGUGAAAUGCGUAGAGAUCUGGAGGAAUACCGGUGGCGAAGGCGGCCCCCUGGACAAAGACUGACGCUCAGGUGCGAAAGCGUGGGGAGCAAACAGGAUUAGAUACCCUGGUAGUCCACGCUGUAAACGAUGUCGAUUUGGAGGUUGUGCCCUUGAGGCGUGGCUUCCGGAGCUAACGCGUUAAAUCGACCGCCUGGGGAGUACGGCCGCAAGGUUAAAACUCAAAUGAAUUGACGGGGGCCCGCACAAGCGGUGGAGCAUGUGGUUAAUUCGAUGCAACGCGAAGACCUUACCUGGUCUUGACUCCACAGACUUUCCAGAGAUGGAUUGGUGCCUUCGGGACUGUGAAACGGUGCUGCUGGCUGUCGUCACUCGGGU